CAGUCGCCGCGGUAAUACGAAGGGUGCAAGCGUUACUCGGAAUUACUGGGCGUAAAGCGUGCGUAGGUGGUGGUUUAAGUCCGUUGUGAAAGCCCUGGGCUCAACCUGGGAAUUGCAGUGGAUACUGGGUCACUAGAGUGUGGUAGAGGAUAGUGGAAUUUCCGGUGUAGCAGUGAAAUGCGUAGAGAUCGGAAGGAACAUCUGUGGCGAAGGCGACUAUCUGGGCCAACACUGACGCUGAGGCACGAAAGCGUGGGGAGCAAACAGGAUUAGAUACCCCCGUAGUCCCUGUCUCUUAUAC
RNAcentral lists this ribosomal RNA (301 nucleotides) under uncultured bacterium. RNAcentral's name for it is "partial 16S ribosomal RNA". It matches the Rfam family "Bacterial small subunit ribosomal RNA", at positions 509 to 807 of the family's 1533-position model. The record is from RNAcentral.